UACGAAGGUGGCUAGCGUUGUUCGGAAUUACUGGGCGUAAAGCGCACGUAGGCGGAUUUGUUAGUCAGGGGUGAAAUCCCGGGGCUCAACCUCGGAACUGCCUUUGAUAGUGCAAGUCUUGAGUCCGGAAGAGGUGAGUGGAAUUCCUAGUGUAGAGGUGAAAUUCGUAGAUAUUAGGAGGAACACCAGUGGCGAAGGCGGCUCACUGGUCCGGUACUGACGCUGAGGUACGAAAGCGUGGGGAGCAAACAGG
RNAcentral lists this ribosomal RNA (253 nucleotides) under uncultured bacterium. RNAcentral describes it as "partial 16S ribosomal RNA". It matches the Rfam family "Bacterial small subunit ribosomal RNA", at positions 524 to 776 of the family's 1533-position model. The record is from RNAcentral.